UCCCUAGUAUCUCCAAUGGUAAAGAAUCUGCCUGCAAAGCAGGAGACCUGGGUUCAGUCCCUGGGUUGGGAA
RNAcentral lists this transfer RNA (72 nucleotides) under Capra hircus (goat). It matches the Rfam family "tRNA". Rfam says of the family: Transfer RNA (tRNA) molecules are approximately 80 nucleotides in length. The record is from Rfam by way of RNAcentral. Lineage: Eukaryota; Metazoa; Chordata; Mammalia; Artiodactyla; Bovidae. RNAcentral also lists the same sequence under 1 other name.